AUUGAUGAAAGCGGCGAACGGGUGAGUAACCUGUGAACAACCUGCCCUUAACAAAGGGAUAGCCCACUGAAACGCGGAUUAAAACCUCAUAAGCAGAAGAGACACAUGUCUUGUCUGUCAAAGAUUCAUCGCCUAAGGAUGGGCCUACAUCUGAUUAGCUAGUUGGUGAGGUAACGGCCCACCAAGGUGACGAUCAGUAGCCGACCUGAGAGGGUGAUCGGCCACAUUGGAACUGAGACACGGCCCAGACUCCUACGGGAGGCAGCAGUAGGGAAU
RNAcentral lists this ribosomal RNA (276 nucleotides) under uncultured Eubacteriales bacterium. Its description in RNAcentral is "uncultured Clostridiales bacterium partial 16S ribosomal RNA". It matches the Rfam family "Bacterial small subunit ribosomal RNA", at positions 85 to 362 of the family's 1533-position model. The record is from RNAcentral. Lineage: Bacteria; Bacillati; Bacillota; Clostridia; Eubacteriales.